Molecule: non-coding RNA, 111 nt
Organism: Acanthosepion pharaonis
Lineage: Eukaryota; Metazoa; Mollusca; Cephalopoda; Sepiida; Sepiidae
Source: the annotation of a GenBank genome assembly
UUACGGCCAUAUCACGUUGAAACUGCGGCCCCCGUGAGAUUACCGAAGUUAAGCAACGCUGAGCCUGGUCAGUAACUUAAUGGGUAACCACUUGGGAAUAUCAGGUGUUGU